GUUUGGCCUCUCUGGGAGGACCUGAGGGUCUAAGGGCUGCCUUAUAACUCAGUUUUGUGUCUUCAGAGUUCAGCUUCUUCCUUUGAGGAGCCGCCUGCUCUUAAAUCCAACUCCCAACAGCAGCAGGUGAUGGCUGAACAGCCAUUCUGCAAACACUGAGGUGCAAAUCCUUUCAUCCAAGAGACAUUUAAAGCCAAAACCGUGAGCUGAAAGGACACAGGAGAGAUCCAUGGGUCCCAGUGUGGCUCCUAAUCAAGGAGCUACUUUUCCAAGGGGCAGAUGAGCCAUGGAAGUGCAGUGUCCAUAGGCAGACAGGAAAAUCCAAACCCAGGACGACAUCUCCCCAUCACAUGCCUCUCAAAGUGCAGCUCUGCCACCCAAAAACCGUGUGACAGAAUUUACACACAGCGUAGCUGAGGAGCAGAGCAUGGGAGUGCAGCUCCAGGACCAUCAGGACUGAGCUGGGGACUUCCACGGGCACCAGGACAUGGAAUUUCACCUGAGGAUCACUUGCGUGGACCAAAGUCUGAUGAUUGUAUUGUUUCCUCCACCACUCACACAUUUCCAGAAACUGCUGAAUUUGACCCAAAUUCACAGACGGCUUUGCCUCCUCCACUCCAAAACUGCUUUGCUGGCCUCCUUUUGAGGGGGAAUAAAGAAGAGCUCGCAGGAACA
RNAcentral lists this long non-coding RNA (675 nucleotides) under Parus major (Great Tit). RNAcentral describes it as "lncRNA (ENSPMJG00000006611.1)". Lineage: Eukaryota; Metazoa; Chordata; Aves; Passeriformes; Paridae. The record is from RNAcentral.